CCAGUCCACUGUAGAUGCGCUUCCGGCGGAGCCGAGGCCGGAAGCGGAAGAAGGGGACGCAGACCUGGAUCCAAGCUGUGCCACCUGAGACGUGGGCCGUCCCAGUGACCGGGAGCCAGAGCUCCAACGGGACGGGCGAGCAGGAGCGCGGAGGGCUUCGCAGCGUCGGCGUCUGUGCGUGGGCCAAACAUCAGGGCCUCGACCAGGGAUACAAGGACACCCCCUAACUAGAUUCCUGAUUCCUGAUGGCUGGCGGCGGCUGACACCGAAGAACUUACAAUUCUUACUGCCAUUUGGCCCUUUGUGAAGGCACAAGAGCUCUCAAAGCUCAUCUGUAAAUUGACUCGUUGCUACGUGGAUAGAACUGGGGCAGUGGGAAGCCAAGCAGAGUCCUGGUGAUAGCACGCUGGGUAGGGGCUUCUCCCUCCCAGCCUCUCUCUUCUAGGAGCAGCCGGUAAGAAUGCCAGCUGCAGAAGACUGGAAAUGACCCAACAUCCUCGGGGGAAAUACACACACAGUGCUCGGCCCAUAUAUGUUCCGCCAAAGACAGAGCCCAAAUAAGAACGAGCCAGCUUUUCAGGAAUCAACAGGGAACAACCUUCAAGAGACUGCCAAGCACAGAGAUGCACACGACAGCGCACUGUGCCGCCGCCUGGAAGAUCCUAGCUGAGGCUGGGCAGACAAGGACAUGAUGGUGGAGCCGUGCAUAGCUGUAGCAGGGGACUGCACCUGGCCUCCAGCGCUGACGCAAGCAAGACCUAUCACUGACUGGAGCCCAGUUCCUCCUCUGAGAGCAUGAGAAAACCACAAGAUGGUGUCUGUAGAGCAUGAAUGGUGUGCUGGAGACCACGCCCCCAGGGGCCAGGCCACGAGGACCCGCACACUGCAUUUUCUGCUGGGCUGCUCUCUGGUCUGUAAGAUCCAUUCAGGCAGGGCAGUGCCCAGCACGGCGCCUGGAGGCAGCCUCAGAGGCCCAUUGAGAGAGGAAGCCGAAGGAGAGCAGCCCCCCGCCUGCCUGUCCAAUUGGGCUGCUGUAAGAUCCUGAGAACUAGCGACCUUCUAGAAUUCCCCGAGACAAGUCAUCAAAUGCUCUCUGAGCACCGACUGCACACAGGUGCUCUACCAAACUCCGGGCCCGCUGGAUGUUGGGAGGGAGCGUUAGGAUCCCUGCGUACUGACCCGGAGAAGUAGACAGAGACAGCCAAGGUCAAGAACAGAAGCAACAGAUAAAAUGCCAGCACUGAGGCUCUCACCCAGGCUGCCAGGAAACCCCAGGGGAGGACUACACUUGGCUCAGGUCCAGGGCCACCCCUUCCCCCACAGCUCCUGGGCUCUGCGUGGAGCUGGAGGGACAGGAGUGGGCACAGGGGCCUUCUCAGUGGGCGUUCCUGCAACAAGGGCCACCAUGGAGAGAACCGAGGACACUGUCACCCAAGGAAGAGGCUGGUGACUCUGUGGAUCCCAUGGUAACCACCAUUUAAGGAUGGGCACUCACGCUAUAAUCCAGCAAUUCCACUCCAGGCAGCACCAACAGAAAUGCACUCAGAGCAGCUGUAUUCAGAACAGCCCCAACUGAAAACAGCCCACGCGGCCACCAACAGAACACCGAAUAAAUAAAUCACCGUCUGUCCAUUCAAUGUCCGAUGAACAAACUGCUGCUACACAUAACCUCAAAGACAAAUCUCAAAACAAUGUCGAGUCAAAGAGCCAAACACAAAAAAACACAUUUUUUUUUUUUUGUCCUGGAUUAAAAGGUCAAAAGCAGGCAAGACUUCUAGAUGGUGAGAGCAGUCAGGGUAGUGGCAGGCAGAGAGUGACUAGGAGAGGACGUUGCAGAUGGCUUCAGGGGAAAGGCUCUGUUCCUUGACCUCAGUGGACUGGGGUUCUCAGGUGUGUUCAUAAAUGUUCAUUCAGCUGUAAAACUUGGGACUUGUACACUUUUCUAGAUGUACAUUUUCUAGACUAUAUUUAUAAAGGUUAAAAAUAACCUACUGUGUGUGAAUUCCAUGAUCUUAGAGGCCACCUCAUCCUACAGAAACAGAUGGUGAAGCUGUCAGGGUUGUGGAGGAGGGGGAGGUGUUGGCAAAGCAGCCCCUCGUUCCCCACGGCCCAGACCCUCUGAGAGCCCCACAGAACAAGGUCUGAAAACAGCUUCAACACAAGCCCUGGCCACCUCUACAACACACAGUGAUGCAUGUGCACUGCACUUCACUGCUCACUGAGAAAUGUGUCUGCACUCUCCUGCCCUGGAUGGGGCUGGGGAGGACAAGGGCACUCUGAAGCUUCCCCAGCAGGAGUACUCAACAGAUGAGUGUCCCCAGGAAGAAGCGAGCACUAACGCUACUGGAAAGAGGCAGGCAGGCAGCACCCACUGGGCAUGGUUCCAGCACCCUGCAGGGCACUGGGGUCUUGCCACACCAUGGUCUCCCCUGAGACCACAGAUACGCGCCCCCCCCCCACCCCCAACAGGUAUUAAGCCACUUUCCCAUCCAAGAAGCCAGGGUGCCAGCUGGCCACAGAUUCAUUACUAACCUAACCUGCUACCCCAUGCAGCCAGCACACACCUGCCUCCCUGCUCCACUGUGACACAGGACACUUUAGGAUGAGGCAAAUCUGCACAUCUAUACAGCGGAAAAGGACAGUGAAGAAAUUCCUCUUCUACUCCUAGUUUGCUGAGAGGUUUUAUCAGGAAUAGACAUCCGAUUUUGUCACAUGCUUUUCCUGCAUGUACUGGGAUGAUUAUAAGGCUUUUCAUUUCUGGCCUUGUAAUAUGGUCAAUUACACACAUUUUCAAACGU
This is a long non-coding RNA of Symphalangus syndactylus (siamang), 2798 nucleotides long. RefSeq lists it as uncharacterized. Lineage: Eukaryota; Metazoa; Chordata; Mammalia; Primates; Hylobatidae. The record is from RefSeq and is a predicted model, not a curated record.